RNAcentral lists this ribosomal RNA (406 nucleotides) under uncultured bacterium. Its description in RNAcentral is "partial 16S ribosomal RNA". It matches the Rfam family "Bacterial small subunit ribosomal RNA", at positions 30 to 526 of the family's 1533-position model. The record is from RNAcentral.
AUUGAACGCUGGCGGCAGGCCUAAAACAUGCAAGUCGAACGAGUGGCGGACGGGUGAGUAAUGUCUGGGAAACUGCCUGAUGGAGGGGGAUAACUACUGGAAACGGUAGCUAAUACCGCAUACCAUCGGAUGUGCCCAGAUGGGAUUAGCUAGUAGGUGGGGUAAAGGAUUAACUAGGCGACGAUACCUAGCUGGUCUGAGAGGAGGAACAGCGACACUGGAAUUAUGUCACGGUCCGGACUCUGACGGGGUGCAGCAGGGGGGAAGAUUGCACAAUUGGAGCAAGCGUUAUGCAGCCUUGCCGCGUGUAUGAAGAAGGCCUUCAGGUUGUAAAGUACUUUCAGCGGGGAGGCUUUACCCGCAUAAGAAGCACCGGCUAACUCCGUGCCAGCAGCCGCGGUAAUAC